This 313-nucleotide small RNA is filed under the name Roseovarius mucosus DSM 17069. RNAcentral's name for it is "Long range pseudoknot". The record is from RNAcentral. Lineage: Bacteria; Pseudomonadati; Pseudomonadota; Alphaproteobacteria; Rhodobacterales; Roseobacteraceae.
ACCCAUGACUACGACGUCAAGAUGCGCAGCGUGGUGAAAUUCCUGCAAGGCGGUGACAAGGUCAAGAUCACCCUGCGCUUUCGUGGCCGCGAAAUGGCGCAUCAGGAUCUGGGUCGCCAGCUUCUCGAACGGAUUGCCGAAGACAUCAAGGAUGUGGGCCGGGUCGAGAACAUGCCCAAGAUGGAAGGCCGCCAGAUGAUCAUGGUGAUCGGACCGGGCCCCAAGUAACGGCUCCCGUUCUGCCCCGAUACUCAACCCCGGACCAUCGGUCCGGGGUUUCGUGUUUCGCUUGCGCCCCCGGACCAGUCGCGUA